CCUACGGGAGGCAGCAGUAGGGAAUUUUGCGCAAUGGGCGAAAGCCUGACGCAGCAACGCCGCGUGAUCGAGACGCCCUUCGGGGUGUAAAGAUCUGUCAGUGGGGACGAAACUUGACGGUACCCACAGAGGAAGCACCGGCUAACUCCGUGCCAGCAGCCGCGGUAAUACGGGGGGUGCAAGCGUUGUCCGGAAUCAUUGGGCGUAAAGAGGUCGUAGGCGGCACGGAAAGUCUGGUGUUAAAGGCUGAGGCUCAACUUCUGUACGGCAUUGGAUACUUGCGAGCUAGAGUGCGGUAGAGGUAAAGGGAAUUCCUGGUGUAGCGGUGAAAUGCUUAGAUAUCAGGAGGAACAUCGGUGGCGUAAGCGCUUUACUGGGCCGUAAUUGACGCUGAGGAACGAAAGCGUGGGUAUCGAACAGGAUUAGAUACCCUGGUAGUC
RNAcentral lists this ribosomal RNA (440 nucleotides) under uncultured bacterium. RNAcentral's name for it is "partial 16S ribosomal RNA". It matches the Rfam family "Bacterial small subunit ribosomal RNA", at positions 338 to 795 of the family's 1533-position model. The record is from RNAcentral.